CCAUGCCUCAGUUUCCCUGUCUGUAAAUUGAGGGUAUUCAUAGCCUCGUAGGAUGCUUUGGGAAUAAAGGAGACAAUCCACGUGAAAGCACUCAGCCAGCACCUGGCACACAGUAAGAGCCAAAUGAGUGUUAGCUGUUACUAUCAUUAAUCAUUACACAGGGGCCUGAACCCAUGACAAAUGAGGUCAGUGGUUCUCAAACUCGAGGGCACGUCAAAGUCACCGGAAGGUCUGGGGGGGGCGCACAGAUGGCUGGGCCCCACCUGCAGAGUUUCUGACUCCACAGGUGUAGGCUGGGGCUGGAGACGGUGCAUUUUCUAGCAAGUGACUGUAAGUUCCCUGGCGACUGCUGAUCUGCUGAGCACACUCUGAGAAGCGCUGCUGUGCACUUCGGGGCAAGCUCGCCAGGUUAGGGAGGAAGCACAAAGACCCGCUGAGCGCUGGCUGCAGCAGGAUUUGACCUGCGUGUCUCUAGAUCCCGAAGAAUGUUCUCUGAUGCAGACCAAGAGCGACUGCAGGCUUGGAGAAUUUUAGGGCACUUUGUCACGGAAGGUCGUGUCCCGGCAGCCGUCCAGCCAUCUGAAGCUGUGUGGUCGUCUGCAAACAGCAGCCCUGGGCUUUAGAGCCGAGGUUCAGGUCAGAGACGGUCUCGUCUAAGGAAACAUUCCAGGGCUGUCGGCGUGUGUGUGGCGAGAUGGGCCAAUUCAAGCUGCAUCCCAGCAUCCUCCAAGUGGGGGUUCAAGGUGGCCUCGAAGCAGAAAGCUUCCUUGUGAGUCUGAUCUCCAGCCUGGAGGACCCUGCCCUCCUGUAGCCCUGAUCCCUGGGGUCCUGGAGCAAUGGGAAUUAUGACAGAGGCCAUCGGGCCAGAAGGAUCGUGGGUGGUUUUACUGGCCACAAAGAGUCGCUAAUGUAAUGGGAUCUGGGUAAUGCCCUGAACCACUCCCGACUUCUGAAAGAAAGAGUGGCCGUUCCAAAGAGUCUAUACACUCUACCAUGUUCUGCAGACUCCCAGCGCCCUUCCACCAAUCCCACCUCCUCCCAACACAAUGCCUCAUGGGGGAUCCAGGGGGUGGGAGUCUGCUCAGGACUUCGAAAUAUUUGCUCUUUAAUAACAAUAAUGAAAAUAACAAAUGACACUUAUUGAGCACCUUACAUGCAUGCCUUUAUUUCAUCCUCACAAUGGCCCUAUGUGGUAGGUACCACUAUUAUCCCCAUUUUACAGACGAGAGCACUGAGGCCAAGAGGGGCAGAUAGCCCAGAUCCUCAGGGCUAGGAAGUGACAGAGAUUCAAACCCAGAUUGGAGUGGCCCCACAAGCCUCACUUUUAACACCUGCAUGAAUCCGCUGCCUGCUUUGCCCUGAGCCCAGGAGCUCGAUACUUUACUAUUCCACGCAGGCCCCAUCAGGUUCCUGCUGUUCAGGCCAAACCCCGGAGGUCCUGAAUGCACACUCCAGAGGAAGGGGACAUGCACGACACAGGGGUAGAAGGGCAGGCUCUGGGGCUAGCGGGCUCAGGCUGGAAUCCAGCUCCAAGGCUUAUUCGCAGUGUGGCCGGAGACAAGUUACUUUACCUUUCUGUGCCUUUGUUUUCUGUUCGUGCAGAGGAAGAUAACCCCUAUCAGGCAGCAGCAGAGAUGGGAGGAGUGAUGUGUAAAGUACACAAUUGGCGGUCCGUGUCCAGCGCACUGGAAGAGCUCCAUAAACACAGGCUUUUUGUCAGCUCGGCCGCCUCUAUCCAGCUGUCCGGUCAUCACCGCCACCCUGACACUAACAGGCAACUCAGGCUGGCAUGGUCAAGGCUGACUUCCUGAUCUUCCCUCCCGCUCUUGCCCACCCCAACACCUGGGCAAGACACUCCUGUCCUUCUAGGAGCUGAAGUCAAAAAUCUUGGCAUCAUCCUGGACUCCUCUCUCCUGCAAGCCUCACAUCUGACUCACCUGCAAAUCCUUCUAGCUUUCCCUUUAAAAUAUACCCAGAGUCCAGCCCUGUCUCACCGCCUCCACCGCUACCUGGUCCUGGCCAACGCCGUCCUCCCCUGCUGCUCCAGCAGCCUCCCCACUGGGCUCUCUGCUUCCCCUCUCACGCCGACUGUCUUCUGCUGUCGCCAGAGCACCUCAGGAUCCGUCAUGAAACUCCAUUCAAGGCUCCCGUGUGGCCACAUCUCACCCAGAGCAAAUGCCAGCGUCUAAUCACAGGCCCCUGAGAUGGUCCCCACCGCACCAGCAGGGGCAGGGGAAGCAGAAGAUGUGGCAAAGUGCUCGAGAAAAGCAUCGGAGGAAAAGAUGGUCCCUUUGGUUAUAUAGGAAGAUAUCAUUACAGAAAUAAAUAGAUUUUAUGGUUUUUGCUGGAUAGCACAUGAUUGGUCCAAAGUGGACCAAGUAAUGCUGAGGAAGACUUUUUGGAAGAGACGCGAGACAUUCUCAACCUCCCUUCCAAAAUAACACCUAGAUAAGGCUGGAAACGCAAACUAGGCCCUUCUGAGUGAAGAGGCAGGACCAAGCACGGCGCUGGACCCCAGGCCCUCGUGAGGCCCGGCUAAAACCACCGUGAUGGGAUUUUUAAGAUACAAACCUAAAGAGAAAAUGAGAAAGGUGAAGAUAACGAAACUCUGGGAGCCGGAAAGCUUAUGAACAAGAAGCAACUGACUGAGCGGCCGAAGAGCUGAGUUCCAUGCUCACGGCAGGAAAACCCAUGAACCUAUGAACUGGAUUUAUUUAGCAGAACGCUCAGAAAAAUGCAGGAGCCUGUGGCACCAGGUCCUUCUGGAACUGAGAGCGAAGCCGCAGGGAGGGAGAGCGUCAAAUAAGGGAGGCUGGCUGACACUGUUCAGCAGCAGUUAGAUGCUGGGACCCCCACCCCCACUCUGCAUGGUGGGGUGCCUGUCUCUCUCCCACUCUGGCAGAAGACCGACAACUGGCUUUCCAGAGAGGAUAAACCUAGGGACUCUGGACUGUGUGACAUCAGAUGCAGUUGGGACCCAGGGUAUCAAACUGGAGAUGGGGGAUUCAGUGACUGUGGACGUACUGGAUGCUGAGACCCCCUCUCCCAUCCCUCCUACCCUACUGGGCUCCCAGAAUGCUGGCAGCCAGGCCGCUGCGCUCUAGAAAGGAGGCUGGAACAAUCUGCUCCAGUGCAUCUGACAAGCCCAGGUGGAAAGACCUGGAGAGACUGACACAGGGGCUCCCCCAAAAUUGGCACAGCAUAGCACCCCACAGUAAAGCUCACAGGCAAGAAGAUCUGCCUGUUCAGACACCGUGGAUAAGCAGACAUGUGAGGAGAGCCUCUACGAGGCAGAGAACAAAACGAAGAAAAGCGACUUGGAGGAAGAAAACAUUAAGCAAGGAGAAGAAAAUUUCCAAAAAUCAUUAUUGAUAACUUUUGAGAGAUAAGAAAAGAUGUUAAAUCCAUGAAACAAGAACAGAAGUUUAUAAAUAAGAACACUUAUAGAGCAAAAAGUAUUUCUUGCAAAUUAAAAAUGUGAAAAUAGAAAUUAAAAACUUUGUAAAAGAUUGGAAGAUGGAAUUGAGGAAAAUUUUGAAAAGUCAGUCAGAAAGACAAAGAGAUAGGAAACAGAAAAGAAAGAGAAAAUAAUUAGAAGACUAGUCCAAGAAGUCUAACAUGCAAAUAAGAAGAGUACCACAAAGCAACAAUAGUGAAAACAGAGAGGAGGAGAUAUUCGUCAACAAAGCAACACAAGGAUAUUUCCCAAACUGGAAUAGCACGAAUCUCCAGACAGAAAGGGAACUUCAAGUUUGCAGCAUAAUGGAAAAAAUAUACUCACACCAAGGCCACUGUUAUGAAAUUUCCAGAACACUGGGAAUAAAGAAAAUCUAGCACGCUUCUGAAGGGUAGAAAGAAACAGGUAUGUGCAACAGAUAAGGAAUUAGAAUAAAUUUGGAAUUCUUACUAGCAAACAGAAAGAAAAACAAGCAAAAAAACAAUGGGGAGUGGCUUCAAAAUUCUAUAGGAAAAUUAUUUCCAACCUAGAAUUCUAUAGCCAGCCCGAUUAUCACUCAUAUGUAAGAAUAGAAUAAAAAUAAUUCAGACACACAAAUUCUCAACAAACAUUUAACUUCCACAUGCUUUUUCCCAGGAACUCAUUGGAGGGUAUUCUACCAAAUGAAGGAGUAAGCUAGGGAGAAACAAGACACGCCACACGUGUGAGCUCCCUGGGGCUGCUGUAACAAUAUGCCUCAAACUGGGGGUCUGAAACAACGGAGGUUUACAGUGUCAUGUCCUAGAGGCUAGAAAUCUGGAAUCAUGGUGUCAGCUGGGCCACACUUUCUCUGAAACCUCAAGGGGAAGGUAGGUCCUUUCUUGCCUCUUCCAGCUUCUGUAGCAGCAGAACUCCAGUCUCUGCCUCCGUCUUCACUCAGUCUCCCCUCUGGGCAUGUCUGUCUCUGCGUCUCAUCUCCUCUUCUUAUAAGGACAUCAGUCGUACUGGGUUAAGGGCCCACCCUACUCCAAUAGGACCUCAUCUUAACUAAUUGCGUCUGCAGUGAGCCUAUUUCCAAAUAAUGUCACAUUCUAACGUUCUGGAAAAGACAUGAAUUUGGCAGGGGACAAUAUUUAACCCAGUACAACAUACAGAAACAGGAGGUGAGAGGAAUUCUCUGGAUGCUGGUGAAGGGCUGGCCCAGGCCGACAGCUGUGUACCAGGGCAGAGGGCAACCGGCACAGACUGGGCAGGCCAGACACUCGAAGAUUUUGUCAGGAAGGUGAAACUGAGAUUUACGGAUUGAAUUAAUGAUAAAUACACAGAAAACUGAGCAAACAAACAACAGCAACAAUAAAAAGGCAAUUGUUAAUUCCAGGAAAAACAAAAGAUUAGUUCCUAGCCACAGCUCUGCAAGGCAUACAUAAAUGUACAUAAGAAACAAUGAAUGCUUAUCAAGCCAAAAUUACAGGACAAAUCUAUGGGGAGGGCGGGGGAUGGGAAGUGGUGGAAGUGGAGGGAGGAAAGAGUGAUAAGUCCUUAUCUUCCACGGUUAAGGGAGAAGGCCAAAACCUGAAAAAGCCAGUUAGCAAUUCAAGUAUAUGGAGACAUGUGCAGUACAUAUUAAAAGAGUCAAAAACAUUGCGCCUGGAGAAGAGGAAAUGGGAGGGGAGGGGAAUGAGGAAUGUUGUUUGUCUUAAAGCUUGUACAACUAGUUGAACUGUACAUAUGCAUAACCUCAACUAGAGAAAUAAAAUCCAAACAAGAGAGAGAGGCACAAAUUGGGCCAAAUCAUCAACAGCCUGGUGCAAGGUGCACUACACCAUAAGCACACUUUAUAAUUCACAUAUUUUAUGAUGAAAUUCUAGAGUCAGCUUCGACCAAGGGCAAUUCUGCCUCCCCUCACCCUACCCAGGGGACAUUUGACCAUGUCCAGAAGCAUUUUCGGUUGUCACAGCCCUGGGGGUCUGGUGGCCAGAGACCAGGGACACUGCUGAGUAUCCUUCAGCACACAGAGCGUAGCACUCACAACAAAGAAUUUGCUCAACAACUAACAAAAAAGAAAGAUCUGGCCCAAAAUGUCAAUAACGGCAAGGUUGAGAAACCCUUGCUCAACAGAUGGCUGGGAAGAGAAAACCCAAUGGAGAGGCCUGGGAAACCGGUCUCUCCACACUCACACGACACUCUGACACCAGAUGGCUGCGUUUUCCCACACUGACCCCUUCUCUGAUUCUCUGUGGACCUAACUGGAUGCCCCACAACUCAGUUUACUUCUGACAGUCUAUCUCCAAUCCGUCUACUUGGAGUUAGCGUCACAUCCCACGAGGUAGGGGCUCAGGCCCACAAGACUGCCCCCACUCUAGCUGCUAGCCGCAGGUCCCAGGCCUCCUGUAUUUAUACCAACCGACUGGCUAUAAAUCAGGGGUUCCCACGACCCCCUGCUCAGGUUCAAUAAUUUGCUGGAACAGCUCAUAGAACUCAGGAAGGCACCUUACUCACAUUUACCAGUUUGUUCUAAAGGAUACCGCUCAGGAAGAGCAGAGGGCAAGGCGAGGGGCAGGGCUGGCGUGUGCUUCCGCGCCCUCUCCGGGUGCCCCGCCCUCCCGCACCUUGACGCGGUCACCAACGCGAGGCUCCGAACCCCAUCCUUUUCAGUUUUCGGAGGCUGUGUUCCAUAGGCAUGAUUGACUAACUCAUCCUCCAAUCCCUCUUCCCCACCAGGAGGUCAAGGGCCGGGGUUGAAAGUUCCAACCCUCUAAGCACUGGCCGGCUCCCCUUGCAACCGGCCUGCCCCCGCCCCCCUCCCCCAUCUUCGGGGCUUCCCAAAAGUCACCUCAGGAACAGAAACUCGGGUGUGGUUGAAAGGGACUUGUUAUGAAUAACAAAAGACACUCCCUCCACCUUUAAGGCUCUCAUCAUUAAGGAAAUUCCAAGGGUUUUAGGAGCUCUGUGCCAGGAACAGGGAUGAAGCCCAGAUGUCUAUUUCUUAUUAUAAGUCACGAUGCCACAGGAAGCUGUUGAGAUCCUCGAGGUAGGAAAUCACAAAAGGCUGAAUUCCGAGAGCUCUCGGGUGGACUCCACGGGCCUGGAAACCCGAUGCAGGGGCAGACGGUGGAAGCAAGGCCGAGUUUUCCCACUUGGGUAUUGAGGUGGAUGUUGAUGCCAUGAACCAAAGCCAGGGAAAGGGUGUCGGCGGAGGAGAGAACAAUUUAGUGGGUGAAGUUUAGUCUGAGUCGCUUAGAGGCGACGGGAGGUCAAGGUGAAGAGGCUUAGUCGGGUGGGUUCUGGGGUUCAAGACGGAGGUCUGGAGGGUGGACACAUAUGUGGCAGUCACCGCAUUUAGAAGUAGGGUUUCCUGAGGGCUUUUUUUUAAGCCAGUGUUCACCCCAGACCUAGCAUAGCGGCUGACACUUAAGAGAAAAUUCCUGUUAAAGAUGUACUGACUGAACAAAGGAAAAUCAUGCGUUCUAGUUUCCUGUGGCUGCUACAACAAACGACCACUGUGGGGGAUCAGGAUGUGCCUCCCCAAAAUGUGUCUCUUUAGCUCUGUUAUUUUUAAGGACAAAAGACUCUGAAAGAAACUUUGACCUUCCCUCUAAGUGCCUAAAAGAAUUUAAGACAGAAGGCCUGUCCCAGGACAGGCCAUCACCAUGGACAACUCUCUCCAUCAUCACAUUGUCUAUGGAUGCCCAGCUAACAUUCGUUGACCAAACGUUUGCUUUUCCAUCUCCAUGUGAACUGCCUUACUCCCCUUUGAAGCCCCAAACCACUACCCCCAACAUCCUCCUUUGUCUUUAGCUGAAGAUGGUAUAAGGUGGCGGCUUCAGCCAUUUUGGCGAGUUACUCAGUUUUCCUGGGUUUCUCCCUCGUAUACAUGUUAUUAAACUUUGUUUGUUUUUCUCCUGUUAAUCUGUCUCAUGUCAGUUUAAUUCUCAGACCAGCCAGAAGGACCUAGAGGGGCGAGGAAUAGAGUCUCCUCCCCUAUGUCACAAACUGGGUGCUUAAAAUAACAGAAACUUAUUCUCUCACAAUUUUGGAGGCCAAAAGUCUGAAAUGAGUAUCACUGGGCUGAAAUCAAGGUGUCAACAGGGCUGCACUCUCUGCAGAGGCUCUGGGGAUCAUCUCUCGCCUUGUCCAGCUUCUGGUGGCUGCCAGCACUCCUUGCCUUGUGGCUGCAUCACUCUAAUCUCUGUCGCCAUCUUCAUGUUGACUUCUCCCUUGUGUGUCUCAUCUCCCUCUGCCUCUCUCUUAUGAGAACACUUGUGGAUCUGCCCAGAUAAUCCAGGAAAAUCUCCUCAUCUCAAAAUCCUUAAUUUAGUCACACCUACAAAAACUUUACCAUAUAAGGUAACAUUUGCAGGCUCCAGGAAUAUACUGGAAUAACUCAAUAUGCUUGGGGGUUACCAUUCAGCCCAUGACAGGGAUCUGGACUACAAGCCCCUGGGAAAACAAACCUUAAAAUCCUGAAAUUGAAGAAAUGAUGGGAAGGCUGACUACCCCAGGUGCUGUGGUGGUUUUAAAACGUCCACAGAUCAUCAGAUACCCCUCUCCUGAAAAGGUGUAUUCUAAUUUCCCUGCCCUUGAAUGUGGGCUGCACUUAGUGACUCAUUUCUAACAAAGAGAAUCAAGUGGAGGUGACAGCAUGUGGCUGUGGAGAGUAGGUCACAGAAGGCCCUGUGACUUCCUUCUUGCUCACUUUCUCUUCCAUGACUUGCUUUUGGGACAGCCAGCCACCACGUUAUGGGGACACUGAAGCAGCCUAUGGAGAGGGCAGCGUAGGGAAGAACUGAGGCACCCUGCCGACGGGA
Equus caballus (horse) is the source of this 8244-nucleotide long non-coding RNA. The record is from Ensembl. NCBI's taxonomy places the organism in Eukaryota, Metazoa, Chordata, Mammalia, Perissodactyla, Equidae.